GCUUGCUUGGGGUGGAUCAGUGGCGAACGGGUGAGUAACACGUGAGCAACCUGCCCCAGACUCCGGAAUAAGCGCUGGAAACGGCGUCUAAUACUGGAUAUGAGAUCAGUCCGCAUGGGCAUGGUCUGGAAAGUUUUUCGGUCUGGGAUGGGCUCGCGGCCUAUCAGCUUGUUGGUGAGGUAAUGGCUCACCAAGGCGACGACGGGUAGCCGGCCUGAGAGGGCGACCGGCCACACUGGGACUGAGACACGGCCCAGACUCCUACGGGAGGCAGCAGUGGGGAAUAUUGCACAAUGGGCGAAAGCCUGAUGCAGCGACGCCGCGUGAGGGAUGACGGCCUUCGGGUUGUAAACCUCUUUCAGCAGGGAAGAAGCGCAAGUGACGGUACCUGCAGAAGAAGCACCGGCUAACUACGUGCCAGCAGCCGCGGUAAUACGUAGGGUGCGAGCGUUGUCCGGAAUUAUUGGGCGUAAAGGGCUUGUAGGCGGUUUGUCGCGUCUGCUGUGAAAAUCCGAGGCUCAACCUCGGACUUGCAGUGGGUACGGGCAGACUAGAGUGUGGUAGGGGAGACUGGAAUUCCUGGUGUAGCGGUGAAAUGCGCAGAUAUCAGGAGGAACACCGAUGGCGAAGGCAGGUCUCUGGGCCACUACUGACGCUGAGAAGCGAAAGCAUGGGGAGCGAACAGGAUUAGAUACCCUGGUAGUCCAUGCCGUAAACGUUGGGCGCUAGGUGUGGGACUCAUUCCACGAGUUCCGUGCCGCAGCUAACGCAUUAAGCGCCCCGCCUGGGGAGUACGGCCGCAAGGCUAAAACUCAAAGGAAUUGACGGGGGCCCGCACAAGCGGCGGAGCAUGCGGAUUAAUUCGAUGCAACGCGAAGAACCUUACCAAGGCUUGACAUAUACCGGUAACACCCAGAGAUGGGUGCCCCUUUUUGGUCGGUAUACAGGUGGUGCAUGGUUGUCGUCAGCUCGUGUCGUGAGAUGUUGGGUUAAGUCCCGCAA
RNAcentral lists this ribosomal RNA (1002 nucleotides) under Janibacter cremeus. RNAcentral describes it as "bacterial SSU rRNA". It matches the Rfam family "Bacterial small subunit ribosomal RNA", at positions 78 to 1092 of the family's 1533-position model. Lineage: Bacteria; Bacillati; Actinomycetota; Actinomycetes; Micrococcales; Intrasporangiaceae. The record is from RNAcentral.